Myotis myotis is the source of this 97-nucleotide small nucleolar RNA. RefSeq annotates it as small nucleolar RNA SNORA1. The transcript has a single exon. NCBI's taxonomy places the organism in Eukaryota, Metazoa, Chordata, Mammalia, Chiroptera, Vespertilionidae. The record is from RefSeq and is a predicted model, not a curated record.
GGCACUGUUUUUUUUGUGUGUGGCUACAUUGAGACACAGGUUAUGCUUCCAUCACAGUAAUCUUAUUACAGUGGUGACAAUGAGACCUGUAACAUUU